Molecule: long non-coding RNA, 2626 nt
Filed under: Homo sapiens (human)
Lineage: Eukaryota; Metazoa; Chordata; Mammalia; Primates; Hominidae
Description: HSALNT0134353
Source: RNAcentral
UGUCUUCUGAAUCUGGAAUGUGGCAUGACCUUCUUUUCUACCCUGUUCUCCUAAAAUUGUCAUGGAUUUAUAGCAUGGUGGUAGGCUAGUGGGUAGGAAAGGGGCUGACAUCUAAGAGCCCUCUGUAUACUGAACACUGUGAGUGUUUUCAGGUAUGCCUUCUCCCUUUGCCUCCCAGUACCCUGAUAAGAAAGCAUUUGUCUUUGUUUUUACAUAGGAGGAAAUGAAAACACAGCCAUCAGGUGACUCAACCAGUUAAUACGGUGAAUAGGGAAAGAGCUGGGAUUUGAACUACAGAUAGGGUAGAAUGUCCUUAUGGGAUUUUAACUGUUGUACCAUGGUCAGACUCAACAGGUAGUAUUUAAUAUCAGAAGUUAAAAAGGACCUGGCACAUAAAUGCUCAAAUAUUACAACUCAGCUCCCCAAGGUGCAUGUAUAAGAAUUGCGCGUGCCUAGUCAUACUCACUCGGCUAAGCUAGGAGAAGGCAGUGGUCACCAGGGCUUGACCAGUAUCUGCCUCUGAACCUGAUUAGAGUUGACCCCAGCUCUGACGUUAGGAUGGUAAACACUGUAGACAUAAGUUAGGAGGUGACUGGGGCUUCACCAGUCCUUGAAAACACUGUGACACCCAGAACAGUCACAGCAAGUGGGGACAGACACUUUGUUUCGAAUAUUCAGAGACAUCUCAGGAGGUAAGUGUGGUCAUUGGUCCGUAGCCAGAGGAGGUCAGCUAAAGCGCCUCCCCCAGCCCUCAGAUAGCAUAUUCAAUAACACCACUUGACUUUAUCCUGAUCAAAACAGACAGCCAAGCCCACAGGGAAGACAGCAAACCUUAACUCAAGGACACAAAACGACCCAGCAAGGGCAACAUGAAUGCACUGGCCCUAGCAUUUGUAGUGGCUCUGUCUGGGGGGACAUGGGAGAGGCAGUCUGCCUGCACUGUCACUAGCAUUUUAUUUUAAAAUGCGGUGUGGGUGGAUGAAAUUGAAAUCUACUUGCCACCAGACAGGAUGACACUGUUGCAGGGCAUGAAUCAGGUUAUCUGAAGGUUGUGAUGGAUUAGGAAAGGCUCUCUCCUGCUGACAACAGGGGAUGCCCCAGCUCAAGCUGCUGCUCCAACAGGACAGUCCUACACUACAGGUUUUGAUCCAGGCCAAAAGGGGUACGAUUGAUUCUGCAGUGCUCAGAUUCUGGAUGCAGUAUGAGGGGACAUCGUUCCUCUGCAGAUGUUACGGCUGCUGAAAUGAGGAAGAAGGAAAGGAAAGGAAAGGAAGAAAAGAAGGAAGAAAGAAAAGUCAGGAACCUGUUGAGGUUGUAACGACAAGGAAAUAUUCAAGAGGAAGCCUUUCAGAACCUUCAUACACUUGGUGAGAAUGUAAAUUCGUACGACCACUAUGGAGAACACUUUGGAGCUUCUUCAAAAAACUAAAAAUAGAGCUACCAUAUGGGGCGAUCCAGCAAUGCUCCCACUGGGUAGAGACCUGAAAGAAAGGAAAUCAGUAGGACAAAGAGAUAGCUGCACUCCUGUGUUUGCUGCAGCACUGUUCACUAUAGCCAAGAUUUGGAAGCAACCUAAGUGUUUACCAAUAGAUGAAUGCAUAUAGAAAAUGUGGUACAAAUACACAAUGGAGUAUUAUUCAGCCAUAAAAAAGAAUGAGAUCCUGUCAUUUGCAACAACAUAGAUGGAGCUAGGGAUCAUUAAGCUAAGUGAAAUAAGCAAGGCAAAGAAAGACAAGCAUCACAUGUUCUCACUUAUUUGUGGGAUACAAAAAUCAAAACAAUUGAAUUCAUGAACAUAAAGAGUAGAAGGAAGGUUACCAGAGGCUGGGAAGAGUAGUAGCAGGUGAGGGUGAGGUGGGGAUGGUUAAUGUUAAUGGGUACAGAAAAAAAAUAGAAUGAAUAAGACUUACUAUGUGAUAGCACGACAGGUUGACUAUAGUAAUAACUUAAUUGCACAUUUUAAAAUAACCAAAAGAAUAUAAUUGGAUUUUUUGCAACACAAAGGAUAAAUGCUUGAGGGGGUGUAAUUCUCAUUCUCCAUAUGUAAUUAUUACACAUUGCAUGCCGGCAUCAAAGCAUUUCACUUACCCAGUAAAUAUAUACACCUACUAUGUAUCCACAAAAUUAAAAAUAAAAAUUUGUUUAAAGAAUCUUUAAAAAUAAUGGCAAUGACAUAAUCAAAAUACUUCAUAAAUAAUUUAAUAUUGAUUACAUGUGGAAAUACUAUUUUUUAUAUAUUUAGUUAAAUAAAAAAAAUUCCAACUUCAAAAAAAAAAAAAGAAAUCUUUCAUUGUAGGGAAAAGUAGAAACAAAUCCUGAGGAAGACAUAAUUUUAUUGUCAUCUCUGUGGAGAUGUUCACUGAGAGUCUUGAAAAUGAGAUGCUUUCUGGGUAGAAAGAGACCAGAAGGGUGUAUGAUCCCAAGGGCUAAGAGAGUUUUGAGAUAAAAAGAAAUAAUCAGGCUGGGCACAGUGGCUCACGACUGUAAUCCCAGCACUUUGGAAGGCUGAGGCAGGCAGAUCACAAGGUCAGGAGUUCGAGACCAGCCUGACCAACACGGUGAAACCCCAUCUCUACUAAAAAUACAAAAAUUAGCUGGGUUUGGUAGUAUCCGCCUGUAAUCCCAG